CUGAGAGGAACCCACACAGAUUAUGUAAUAUACUUUGUGAUCAAUUAUAAACUUACAGCAUUUCUGAAAUGUUUUUUUUUCUUUAUCUUGAAUCAAGGAUCUGAAUCUGAUUGGAACACCGAGCUUUCCCAACAGCCAUGGUCAUCAUUGCACACCUGCAGUUGAAAUGCUGUUAUAACACACGUUUUACUAAUGUUCUUGCAGCUAUAUAUAUAGUGUUAUUUCUAGACAAACUGUGUAGAGUUUAUGGUUUACAGACUUGGUUGCACUGGUUCUGUUGUUUUGGGGUUUUUCUUCAAAGCUCUCACAAUGAUUCUGCUGUUGUUUUCAUUGACUGAACUGUUUCAUGUCUGGUUGUUACUACGCUUGUGAUUUCUUUCUUUUUCAGGACAUUCCAAAUUGUCGUAUUGACUUUUUUCCCUAUUUUUAGGAACUAAGUUUUACGAUGAGGUAUUGAUGUUUGUGGACUAAACUUCUGUUACAGUAGUGGCACAAAUAUCAUUUUGUUCAGCCAAGAGUCGUGUGCAACUAGCAGUUUGGUGACCCGUAGGAUUAAGUGAAGUGAAGCUAAGCUAGGCUAUCUGCGUUUGUUGUUUUUUCACUAGCUUGAAAAGGACUAAGUAUAAACUGUAACUCGUGGGCGUUUAAGCUAAUGUCGUCGUGAGAGACGGACAGCUGUAACCGCCAGCCGCAGUUUUCACCGUGGAACUGAAGGGACGAGGACUGUGGAGAACUGUGCUGAGUAGCACGGUCACUACGCCUGUGUAAGGAGGGACUCUACCGCCGAACCUGCAUCUCUGAAUCGACUCUUACCUGCUGGACCCUCGCCUGCAGCGGAUUCAUUCACUCACUCAGCUCGUUGUUUCCAGUUCAGCUGAUUUUCCUCUUCGAUAUGUGACACAGAUGUUCAAGACAUUUCUAAAAAAUAUUUGGCCCAAGAAAUUGAACUGAGGAAAGCAGACCAGACUGAAAAUGAGAAAACUGGAGAUGGAAAUUAAGCAAAUGGAGAAAGAAAGAAGUAAGUAGUUGAAUAAAGCAUUAAAUGUUUAAUAUUCUCCUUUGCUCAAGUUUUAAUUAAGGAUUUUUUCUUUUCCACAGGCUGAAUAAGAUGACCCGGAAAAAAUGUGUUUAACCGUACACUAAAAUUAAAUUGUCCAGAGUCACAUGGCCCUCCCUACUCCACCUUCAAUUAAGCUCUUAUUGUAUCUUCUCACUGGUCUACCUACAAUCUUAGCAUACCUUCCUGAUGUAGUACAUUCACAUUGUGCAAAACUCCCUCCACAAGCCACUACAAUAUCAAGUCCAUUGUGGAAUGAUUCAGAGAUGGUUUAGACAUAAAUCUGGACUUUAGCUGUCCAAACGUAAUUGACAUACACUUUUGAAGUAGUAGAAAAGGACUUUAUAAGGAAUUCGAAUAAUACAUAGUUGGGCUGCAACAGUAACUACAGUACAUCAUUUACUGCUCUAAAUAUCAGUAUCUGAAUGGGAUUCUGGCACCUUCAGUAACUUGGAGAGGGUAAAAAUUUGUGUUUUCUGCUUGUACUGAGGUGUUAUAGAAACACCAAUAGUGUUUCAUUGAUUCAUGGACGUAUCAGAUUUGUGUAUAUUUGGGGCAAUGGUGGCAAAAUCUUGUUCCAGCUUGGAUAAACUCUGCAAGACCUCAGGAUUCAGUGGAGCUGUGUUUCAUUUCUGGUAUGUUUCUACGAACAGCUUUCCAGCUUCACCUUCUCGUCUCCUGUUAAACAAUAUUAUUUGCGCUAGAACACUUUCUGAAAGAUUUCUCCAUGCCACAGGAUCUGAGCUCUUGGUUAAUUGUUCUUUUGACUGAUCUUCCAAAAUUUUGAGGUGUUUGUGCAACCUGACAUCAUCUUCAGUCGGUGGAAGAACAUCAGCUUUGUUCCAUUUGUUUUGUUCAAGGUUGGUACUAGCUCGUUUUGAAACAAAUGUGUUCCAGUCAGAGUGAAGCAACCUGAUGAAAUUCUUGGCCUUCUGUCCUGCCUCACGGUCUUCCUUGAUCAGACUCUCGCCUAUCACAAUUUCACAGACUUUCUUGAGGGUGUCCCCAAUUUUACAAGCUAAAGAUGGGGUGUCUCAUCUGUUUUUUAUGGAUCAAACCCACUUGCUUCCAUUGCUGCCGAUACUGCUAGCUGAAAUCUUGUUGGCACACAAAACAUCCACUAGACGUUGUACAGCAGGGUUAAGCUUCUUUACUGCCAGCAUAAACCUCCCCAACUCCCGCAUUUUCUGACUGAUGUAAUUGUGCUGCGAUUUGUCCUGUCCAUGGAGCUCAAACAUCAUUUCUUCAUAUUUAUAGAUGAGAGUGUCUGACUUCACCUGAUUAGAGAGGUCAUCUUGAUGCAUGCUCAGAAUGAUGCAUUUACACCCUUCAGACACGGCAGGUUUACAUGGUGUACUUCGAGGUGCUACAGCUUGGACUCUCUUCGGUUUCCUUGAAAUGUUGUCUUUUUCAAAAAUGCAGAAAAGACUAGGUUAUGCUUUUCACAAUUCCUUUCUUUUAAAAAACCCAUCGCAAUACUAUCAUAGCAGAUAGUCUUGAUUUCGGUACUAUAGUGGAAAUUCCCUUUAUUUCGUAGUUGUCCAAGUAAUCUGUCAUGCCUUUGUCCCCUUAGUUUUUGAUAAUGCUUGUUCUACUUCAGUUUCUUUUGCAUAUUUUCUCUCGAGAUGUCUUCCCAGUUUGCUUUUCUCUGUACCACAGUAUACAAAAAAGUUUUUCUUAUCUCACUCUCUCUUCCCUCCUUCUUUUUUUGUGCACUUUUUAACAUUCACUUUUACAUUGUCUGACCUACCAUCUUCAUUUAUGGACUUUUGGGCUUUUUCUUAGUCUUUUGCUUCACAAGUGCUGUCAGAGUCCAUAUAGAUGGCAUCAGAGUCAGAACUUCCACUGGAUGAAACAUAUUCACUACCACUUGUGUGUCCUGAUGACAGAUCAGUGCUCCCAAUUUCAACAAUUUCUUCAAUCCUUAAUUCCUGUAAAAUCAAAAGUUUGAAUAUAAUAAACAUAAUUACAAAUACAGAAUUAUGUU
Long non-coding RNA from Ictalurus punctatus (channel catfish), 3044 nucleotides. Lineage: Eukaryota; Metazoa; Chordata; Actinopteri; Siluriformes; Ictaluridae. The record is from Ensembl.